CCUGCCCCUAGAGGCAUUGCAGGUGUGGCUGCUGUGCCACAUGUGUAUCAGUAGGUGGCAGAAAGGAGAGAUGUUGUAUCUAUGCUCAGAAUUAUGACUUAUGAACAUCUGAAAAAAGCAAGCCUGAGAUG
RNAcentral lists this small nucleolar RNA (131 nucleotides) under Meriones unguiculatus (Mongolian gerbil). Its description in RNAcentral is "Small nucleolar RNA SNORA17 (ENSMUGG00000006765.1)". It matches the Rfam family "Small nucleolar RNA SNORA17". Rfam says of the family: snoRNA ACA 17 belongs to the H/ACA family of snoRNAs and is predicted to guide pseudouridylation of the 28S rRNA at positions U4659 and U4598. Lineage: Eukaryota; Metazoa; Chordata; Mammalia; Rodentia; Muridae. The record is from RNAcentral.